Tricharina praecox is the source of this 92-nucleotide non-coding RNA. NCBI's taxonomy places the organism in Eukaryota, Fungi, Ascomycota, Pezizomycetes, Pezizales, Pyronemataceae. The record is from the annotation of a RefSeq genome assembly.
GAUUCAGUAGUGUAGGGGUAUCAUGGGCGCUUGCCAUUGCAUCUUGCAUUAGCAUUCUGCGCCCGACCCGGGUUCAAAUCCCGGCUGAAUCA